Molecule: non-coding RNA, 2191 nt
Organism: Salvia hispanica
Lineage: Eukaryota; Viridiplantae; Streptophyta; Magnoliopsida; Lamiales; Lamiaceae
Source: RefSeq, a predicted model, not a curated record
CAUGUAGAGAGAGAAGAAUAUAUGGGAGUUGACUUGAUGCAUUGCUGGAUAACCUGAAACAGCUGUUGAUGAAGGUGGAGGGAACAACGAGGGUGAAGAACCAAAUUGCAGACGACUGCAACCGCUAUCACCACACCACACAUCGUUUGAGUUGAGAGAUGGCUUAUGCUGCAGUCCUUUCUCUUAAGCAAAAGCUACACUCCCUCCUUAACCAAACUGAGCUUCCACUCCCGACAUCUACAUUAAACGGUGAAUUCAUUACAACGACCGCGGUGGCAGCAUGAGGUUGGAGGAGCUAAUCCGAGAUGAAGCACAUAACUUGAUGAUACUUUGGAAUUAAUUGAUCACCGAAAUCUCUUUCUUGAAAUAGAGGAGGUGGAAUCGUUUAUCACCACGCUGAAGAAGCUGGAAUUGGAAUAUGUUAAAGAAGUAGACAACACCUCUUCAUUGUCUACUGCUGCUGCUUCAACUACUGAUUUUAGCUCUAAGAUGGUUGGAUUGUGUGAUGAAUUUGCAAAGAUCAAAACAGAGGUGCUUUCCCGCAUGAGGCCGGAUGAUUUUGGCGUUUUCUCGCUUGUUGGGGCAGGCGGCGGGACAGGAAGGACGGUUGCUGACAGGAAUGUUUCCGAUGAUUUGUGUGCUGAGGCUUUUGAGUGCGGUGGGUGGGCGAGCGUUGGCCCGUAUAAUGGAAACAAGGACAUCCUCUUGAGCAUUGUUGCUCAAGUACAUCCUGAUGUAUACGAAUUACUUGUUGCAGAAGGCGAAGACGAGAUAGCAGAAUGUCUGCACACAUCCUUGAUGGGCCGUAGAUAUAUGAUUGUGCUUGAUGAUAUAUGCAGUGUGGAGGUUUGGGAGUGUUUAUUUAUGAAAUGGCCUCGUUGUUGCGUGUGGACUACUGUUGGAUAGUCAUUCGCACAUCAAUAUUGCUUGGCUCGAACCCUGAUGACUUUCCGCAACUUGAGGAAGCUGGAAUGAAGAUUGCUGAGAAUUGUCGAUGCCUUCGCCUCGUGCUUGCCAAGGUUGUACUGUUCUUACUGAAAGUUGAGAAGACGCCGCCCGGAGGUGUGGAAUAAGCUUGCUGCAGAUUCACAAAACUCCCUGUUCAUGGUUGAUGAUGAGUUAUUGGAGGUAUAAUCCUACUAUAAUUUGUUAUAUUACCUACAUGGAAACAUGUAUUCUUCUCGAUGUAUUCUUAUUUUUGCCAGAUUUCUAAAUUCAAAGAAGACUUAUGCAAUUUGGACGACGAACACUUCGUCCUUGGAUUGUUGCAAAUGACCACAUUACCGUUACUGACUCAAAAAUUGAAGUCUCAGAUGACUGAUUCCCAAAAUGGAAAUUAUGACGUUCUUCGGAAUGGCUGGUAUUGGCAAGACUCACCUCAUCAAAGAGUUAUUGAAGAGCAAUCUCCAUUGCAUCGCUUCGACCAUUGUGUGUGGAUUACUUUAGGCCCAAAAUAUCAGUCAGAAGAUAUAUUGGUCGAUAAUCUUGCAUAAAUAUAUCCCGAGUUUAGUAAAAUGGAUAUUAAAGCAGACGAGAAAUUAACUCAAGAUUUGUGCAGACGGUUAUCUCCUAAGCAAUGCCUCAUCGUUUUGGAAGAUGUAUGGUACAAAGAGCCCUGGCUUCUCUUUCUAAAGAUGUUUCAAUACAUAAAGGGUAGAACCUUGGUGACAACUAGGCUAGCAGAGGUGGCAGAACUUGGCAAGAUUCACAAAAUGCAGCAUGUUUCAACCUUUGUAUCGCUGAGGAGUCUCUAGAACCAGAUGCACCCCUGGAGAGAUGCGAGAUUUUGCCGCACAAUGUUUAUCAGAGCUUGUAGACAGAAGCCUUGUUAUGGCUUGUAAGGAGGGCUCUAAUUUCGGAUCAAGACUUUCCGCCUCCAUUCUGUGUUUUGGAAUCUAUGCUAUGCAACAGUGAAGCUGCGAAGAGCAAGGUGUUCCAUGCACUGCUGAUAUUGAUUCAGAUGGCAUGAAAAAUCCGCGCAGAUUGUGCAUUCGCAAUAGUAUGCUAUUGGGCUUAAGAGAAAUCCAAGACUCAAUUCAUGCCCUUUCAACUACUCGUUCUCUGUUAUGCGUUGGUCCACAACAUCAAUAGCAUGUUCCAAUAUGUUUAGCUACAAAGCUGCUAAGGGUACUCAACGCUCUUCCUAUCCGUUUGUAUGAGUUCCCAAUUGAAGCAACAGAUGUUUUAACUA